Molecule: transfer RNA, 67 nt
Filed under: Dreissena polymorpha
Lineage: Eukaryota; Metazoa; Mollusca; Bivalvia; Myida; Dreissenidae
Description: tRNA-Gly
Rfam family: tRNA
About the family: Transfer RNA (tRNA) molecules are approximately 80 nucleotides in length.
Source: RNAcentral
GGUGCGGUGGUCGAGUGGUAACACUCUGGUCUACCAUUCCAGAGGUCCAUUGUUCAAUGCCCCGCCG